CAGAGGGUGCAAGCGUUAAUCGGAAUUACUGGGCGUAAAGCGCGCGUAGGCGGCUAAUUAAGUCGGGUGUGAAAGCCCCGGGCUCAACCUGGGAAUUGCAUCCGAUACUGAUUGGCUAGAGUAUGAGAGAGGGAGGUAGAAUUCCACGUGUAGCGGUGAAAUGCGUAGAUAUGUGGAGGAAUACCGGUGGCGAAGGCGGCCUCCUGGCUUAAUACUGACGCUGAGGUGCGAAAGCGUGGGGAUCAAACAGGAUUAGAUACCCUGGUAGUCCACGCCGUAAACGAUGUCAACUAGCCGUUGGGCACCUUAGUGUGCUUGGUGGCGCAGCUAACGCGAUAAGUUGACCGCCUGGGGAGUACGGUCGCAAGAUUA
This 372-nucleotide ribosomal RNA is filed under the name uncultured organism. Its description in RNAcentral is "bacterial SSU rRNA". It matches the Rfam family "Bacterial small subunit ribosomal RNA", at positions 526 to 896 of the family's 1533-position model. The record is from RNAcentral.